Molecule: long non-coding RNA, 986 nt
Organism: Lepisosteus oculatus (spotted gar)
Lineage: Eukaryota; Metazoa; Chordata; Actinopteri; Semionotiformes; Lepisosteidae
Source: RefSeq, a predicted model, not a curated record
GGCGAAGCCGACUCCGUGACAUGAAAUUCCGGCUGCGAUUUCAGAUCUGUGUUGUUUACAUCCAGCUGCACGGGAAAGGCUAUAAUUAAAAGACCUGGCCCACACGGACCAUGAUACACACGUGAUUCCCGAUGCCCUUCUCACGUGGGGGACAUUCAGAAGAUCUGCUGUGCGGAAAAAUAUCUGUUUGGACUAUGAAAGCCAUCGACUACCUUCUGGUAUAUGUACUGUAGUUUAACGCUAUAGAGAACGUGUCUUCUGGUUAAAACACAGAAUAAUGUACAUUGACUGUAUAUUUAUAUGUAUUUGACUAACAUUCCUUCUAAAACUUAAAUUGUCUUCACCUGAUCAAGUUUCUUUCAGUGCUCCUGUCUGAACGAACUCAAUCUCAGUUCUGGUGUGUCCAUUCUGGUCCUCCAAAGGUAUUUGUUGAAGCACAGUUUUGUUCUCAGAUUCCACUGUUUCCAGUUUAAUAUUCUUUCCCAGGUCUUGAACUGUGGGGUUGCCGAUAUAAAGCUAUGUAUGAUACCUACUGGACUGCUGCCCCCCCCAGGACCAGGGUUAAACACUGCUGCUUUUAAUAUUUUCUGAUCUGUUUUUUUCCAUCAGCAGCCUUGCAAAUACAUUUGCACGGUGCGUGAAUGGCACAUAAAAUUCAGUUUAGACACGUCAAACAAGUAUUUUUAAACAGUUCUGUGUAUCUAGGUCAGGCAAGUACUAAAAAACAUUUGGCUAAUGCCUAAAUAAAUCGGUGAUGAUGUAACUAGUUACGUAUAAAAUCUUAUGUCACGUUUCUGAAGUUUGGAUGUAUCUGUAAGAUUCUGAUGAAUCAGUUUAAUUAAGAAAAAAUGGUCUUCUAGGGCUAAAGUACUCGAUGGAGUACCAAAUGACAAAUCAGCUUCUUAAUUGACCAGAAUUAAAUUUGUAGGUCUUUAGAAGGUGGUGAUUUAAUUGUAACCAAUAAAACAAACCUCCCAUGAAACUCU